This 9749-nucleotide long non-coding RNA is filed under the name Lactuca sativa (garden lettuce). Its description in RNAcentral is "long non-coding RNA (LSAT_LNC008548)". The stretch from base 4262 to 4335 matches the Rfam family "tRNA". Lineage: Eukaryota; Viridiplantae; Streptophyta; Magnoliopsida; Asterales; Asteraceae. The record is from RNAcentral.
CUAUUGCCUGCCGGUUAGCGAAACUUUUCCGGUAGUAUGAAUCGCUACGCUUCGCUUCUUUUUAUAUGAUAAUAUGCACCUUGGUUGCUGCGCUACCUGCGGGUAAUAGCAAGAGAGUGAAGAAGGAAUGAUCCUCCGAGUGAUUGAGUCUGACUCAAGUGAGUGAGUGAAAGGCGUGGCAAGAGAGCGAGUUCUACUCGCGAACGAUCAGCAAGUGAAGGACCGAUCCUUUUGUUUUGCGCCACCAAUACUGUUGCGAGACUGGUACUUGGCGGCUCACGAGCAAUAUAUAGACUAAGGUUGCCCAUCACUCCCUCGCUAAGGCCCUUUCUAUUCUCUUUCUAGUAUGGUUCCUUCAUAAGAACACGGAACGCCCAGCUUCGCAGAGCAGCUCUCUCCCCAGACCAGAGCAUAGUGUGGAAUCUGGGUCGUUUCAUCGAGCACCAUUUCUUUUAGAUAGAAAGGUAUUCUGACUUUAUUGGAUCAAAUAAGAACCUAAGCCUUCUACUAGUUUGUACAGACUAAGCUCUAUUUCAUAGAUUGGACUCUUGUACUGUGAUUCGCCCCUACUAGUAAGAAGCUGUUCGUUCCCUGGAUCCACGUGUUCCUAGUCGGGCCUAAAUGGAUGAAUGAAGAAGCGCGCCCGGGUAGACUUCAAGAGCUCUUUCUCUGCGUAUCCUCCUACUUCUUAUUCUGGGGGUCAUAGAAAGAUACGAACCGCCUACUCUUUCAAGCCCUACCAUUAGAUUGAAUAAAAUGAAAGCUGCUUGCCCUCAGUAAUAAAAAACAGCAAUCCCUCCCCUUCUGUUACCUACUUUUACUCAUAUCUUCGCGGUAUACCUCAAUACAAGACAAGCACAGGAAAGGAUAUUCAAUCAAAACCGGGCUAUCACCCUAUCUAAGCAGGUUUCCCCUCUCCUCUACGGAAGUCAUCUUUUAAUCUAUUUAAGUUCCUGUGUCUAUCGCUAUCGUCCUAUUUUCUCUCAAUUGCCUAUCCUUUAUAGAUGAGGGGGAGUACCUUAGCAGUAGCUUCCAACAACUUAAGAUUGACCUCCUCAAGUGCCAGAUAUGAAUGUUUUAUUAAUUUCAUACGGGACUACUUACUUACCUAAAGUGAACUUUUGGCUUACCUAAAAAGUGGACUGAAGGAACUGACCUAAGCAUAGCUCUCUCAAAUAAAAAUGCCUUUCAUUUCUCUUUUAAGACCUUUGUCCUACUUCUAGUCUCAGUCCUCCAGCCUAUCGAAAGUCAUCUUUUUAUUAACAUUAACCAACAACACAUGCACUUUGUUGGCACUAAAAAAAAGGUUAUUCAAUCCACUAGUGCAACUGAAGGAAUUACCUCUUCUGAACCGGAAUAAGAAAGAGCUCAUAACCACUACUUGUGAACAGCUCUCCUCAACUGAAGGCGCACCUACUGUUACUAGAAGUCUAGUCUCUCUCAGGUCCAGUUUCGAUCUCGAACUACAACAUAGGCGGGAAAAGAGAUAUUCAGAAAAGCCGAUUUCCUGUCCUGUCUUAAGAACCUGACUCAAAAGAGAAAAGAAGACCGGACUAAAAGAGAUCUCACUUUCGACGAUUGAACUCCACUUUCAUAUCAGGCUUGCACUGGAAUUCACUUUCAGGAAUCCUUGCUCCUGGCUCAUAUUCACAUAGGCCACUCAUAAGAAUAAGACGUUCAACUCCCUCAAACACGUGUAAUUGAGAGAGUCAGAAUAUCAGUGCCUUGGGUAAAUGUCUACCUUCGGGAGAAUCUUACCGAACGACUUUCAAACCUGUCCUCUUCGCUUCCCAAGAGAUUGGAUUUAGGUAAAAGGGCCUUGUCGGCCACCGCUUUUAUUUUCAUUCAUUUUUCCUAUUAAAAAAAAAAGAAAAGACCCCCGCUCGAACUAACUUUCAACGCUCGAACUCCAGAACGAAACUCAAGUCAUUGCUCAUUCCCGCUCAUGCUUGCUAUAACAAUUCCCUUGCCUACUAGACUUGUCUAAGAAAAGAUGCACGAGCCACUCUUUCUCUUAUAUACGGUAUUUUAAGAUAGUGAUUUGAAUGCCUAUCCCCUGCCUAUGCUAAGCCUUUACUACCUACCCUUACCUGUCCGCCUUGAACUACUGCGCCUGCGCAUACCUUUUCUUGCUCCAUCCAGAAGGUAGCUUGAACUGGCAUUGUACAGAUAGAUAGCCAGUAGAAAGAACUAUUCCCAAGCUGGAGAGGUGGGAGAGGAGAUAAAUUGAAGUGGAUCUCCUAUCUAUAUUCGACAGCUUGAAGAGGGCGGAUUUAGAAAGCAAAAUUUUCAUUGAAAGCGAUUGUGCCUACCACAGUCAAGUUCGGUAUUUACUAGCAAGGAAAAGGGUAGGAUCUACCAAGACGGGUGGCAUGUGAACCGCUUUGGAGUGAAUCGGUUAAGAACCGCAGAUGGCACAUCGAAUCCCCGCAGCCACUUUGCUGAGUUGAUAGAUAGAUAGAUGAACUAGCCCGAGGACCAAAGGAGAGUACUUCUUUUGCCAUUGGAAGCUGCUGUCAGUAGGCAUUCUUUGCGCCAGAAAGAGAGAUUGUAUUGUAGCUUAACUUCUUAAACAAAGCCGGCUCCAGUUCUAUUCAGAAUAGGGCAAGAAAGCGACUUGCCGCCUCAGUCACGAAGGAAUACCGAAGAGCCUAAAGAGGGUGUUAGAAUGCAGCUAGAUAGAGAACUAUAAGAUAAGAGGGAUUCCAUGGGUGAGAAGGCUGACAUGAAGGCUCUCAUUCCAAACCGGUAAAGCGCAAGGGGCAAGCAGUUGACUCUUUCACUCGGACUCACUAGCAACUCCAGGAGCGACCCCUCAUCAUCUUACGAUGAAAAGCAGGUUUAUUCCGUGGUAAACCACAACGAGUAAGCGAGAUAGGGUGAGGUAAAGCCUCAGACCGGUCAAAGGAGCCUCCGUAAAACCUCAUCAGACAGGUAGCGGAAGCUGAUAGAAAGGGGCGAUGAGCUCAGUAGAGGAGAAGCCGUCCUGAUGAAAUAGAAAGCCCUAGCUAUGAGUGACUCAAAUCUAGCCGUGAUGCGCGAGGGCCAAUAUUCAAAUGAAAGCAAGGGGCUGAUUGCCCUCAUGGGGAAGGGAUGAAUACGAGCAGUCGGAAGAGCAGCUCUCUCAGAAGCAACCAAUCCAAGAAUUGAUGGAUUUGGUAGAGUGCCAGUCACAACACUAGAACCAAGUUAGGUGAGCUUGAAGGCAUCGGUUGAAGCCCUUAGUUGCAAGGUCUUUGACUGUGCCCAAGAAAGGGAUGGAUAAUAGAUCUUAGAUAGUUCCCACUUCCACUUAACAAAGGAAAGAUAUCACACACUACACAAGACAAUCAUGUGCAAGCUGCUUGAGUUGAAUCAGCCUCAAUUCCUCUCUCACUCACGAUGAAAGCUAAGAGCUUGCUCGAAGACAGCCUUUACUUUAUAGUUGUAAUCUAUCCUAUCCUAUCCUUUAGGCGGGGAUAGGUUCAUAGGAGGACUUGGUUACAUAGGAAGGAAAGGCUUAAACUAGAAGGGAUAAGAAAGGGAAUUUGUGCAACACUCUUAGUAGAAGGCCGAGUUGAAACUCCCUCUAUCCGCGUACAGGACAAGCAAGUUAUUGAGGGCUCUUUAUGCCAAAUACUUUGACACUACAGGGGAGAAAACCAGAAAUCUCCUAAGCAAUAAAGAUCUUCCUAUUGAUACUAGCAUUAGUGCGACUGGCUCCCGGGGAAAAGGAAUUACACUAGAUCUUGGCAAUGGCACUCCAACAAGCUCGGCAGGGAGAGAAAGAAGAGAAGGAGAAGAGGAAGUACGACGAAAAGGGUAUGAAAUAGGUUGCUUGUAGCGAUUUCGAUUGCUUAUUCGGUUGGGAUUACCAGCCGACUUGCCUGACCAAAGAAUAAGAUAAAAAGAAGAGUUCCCGCCUACGGCUACAUGCCCAUUCAGAGCUAUACCUGGAGUCGAGCUAACUGCAUAAGAAAAGGGGAACUUUCCUAAAAAGCCUAAUAGCAAUUAACCGCAUUGGAAACGACGAAUCACACUCUGAAAGGAGGCACCCUCCCUUAUUACGUUACGGUCGAACCUCGCCUUUCUUCCUUCCUCUCCCGUUGGUCGAGCGUCUUCAAACCUUCGCUCCAAUACUUUCGAACAACUCUCGUACCCUUCGCUCAUAAGCUAACUAAGAGCAUGCCUUCGAUCCGGCGUGAACUCUUUGCAUUGCCUUUAGAGUAGAUGUAGUAGAUUGAGAUCUCUCGACAACCGUAAGAGGUUAAGGUUCCAACCUGGGAUUGUAGUUCAAUCGGUCAGAGCACCGCCCUGUCAAGGCGGAAGUUGCGGGUUCGAGCCCCGUCAGUCCCGACGCCGGAUUCAAAAAAGACAUCAAUUCCUCUCUCCAUUUUCUGUGGACAAAGAGUAGGAUCUAAUUUCCCAGCAGGAGGAUCCUUCUUUCGUUUCGCAUUUCUCAUCGGACAAAUAAAGUAAAGGAAUCCAAAUGACAAUAACUAGUAACGGGGAUAGACAUAUGUAGAUUGGUACAAUCGGGGGUAUCACCAUAUUCAGGAUUCAAAGAGAUACCGUACUGGUCGAGCUUUUUUCGAUUGUUCCUCCUGGUCCAUCGAAUAGAAAAUUUUGUGGUAUAUCGUAUAAUAAGAUCAAGGCUGCACGUGAAUCUGACUCUAAAAUUUUUAGGAGCCUCUUGCUUUUGGUGAAUUACCGGUGCUUAAUGCAAUAACCGGUGAGCAGACUUGCGACGUGCUUACGCCAUCGCGGACGUCCGGGUAUGGAUUACUGGAGUGAAGGGAUUGGCGCGAACCAGAGUGUGCUUCGAGACCAUCUUUCUCUCAGGAAAAACAACGAACAGGGGACGACCUCGUUCCCGAGUCUCAUCAAUCUCAAUGUCUAUGGGUCCACAGCCCGAUUGAAAAAAGUUUAACAUCCUGAACGAACUUCUUUCCUUAAACCCUCGUAAGGUAUCUCUAUCACUCGUUACGCCGAAUCAAUCAACAAGCAACCAUAAUUUUCUAUCUUCAACGCUUCAGGCAGGUGGCCUAGCUAACACAGCAAGGACUUACACCAUAUACUCAGUGCCCCUAAUAGAUGUGGAAUUAGACUUUCUCUCUUCUAUUUUUUUUAGACGGAUAUCGAACUCCUUCUUGGAUUCAAAAAAUGUGGGAAUAAAGAGUAUUAACAGAAAAUAUUUCAUCUUUCCUUGAUGCGGCAAUAAAUAGUCCUGACUUUCCUGAAAGCUUACUAAGGUGCGACGCCUGAUUGUGAGUCUCAUAGCCAUACGAGAGCUUGGAAUUACACCCUAGAAGGAGUUAGUCAAAGCCUUCCUUUCGCCCUCGCUUUCCUUCAUCUCAUGCAUCUGGGGAAGGAAGCGAAGCUGUUUAAGUAAGAGUUAGCGCCUAUGGAAAAGAGAUUUUAAUCGCUUUGUGGCGGGAUAAGCUGUGAUCUUAUUCCUAACUUGGGAUAUUAAGUAAAAUAACAUCACUCAUUGGCAAAGCAUGAAUUAGCCUUCGAGUUGUGGCUUCUUGUUCAUCUUUCACUAUCUGACCUUUCAUUUCAGGUUCUCUUCUCUUAGUCUUCCAUGGCCCAUUCCUCUAGAAAUGACUUUUUAAUAACCUAAUAAGAGAUCUAUUACGCGCAUCAUCGCAUAAUCUAUUUUCUUGGAAGGAAUUAGCUAACUAGCCUAGCUGACAAGGCAUGGCAUGAAUGGCGGGAUGCUAACUCGAUUCGCCCUUGCCUCUACGGGAUUACUACCUUAUAUAAAAAAAUAGAAAGCACCAAAGGUAAGCAGUUCCCAGUCGAAAGAUAAAAUUAUUCUUAGCAGUUAAACAAGUGAAUGGAAUUUUUUUCCCCCUAUUGGUUGACUGGGCUUCCCCAGUGUCAUCAUCGACCCGCUCCUGCACCAUCUCAUCCUUAGUGAAUAAAAAAGGGUGCUUGUGCUUCUUAAGUAGCAUUUACUUACCUUCUUCAUCGAAGGCUUCCAUUGAUAGGGAACUGUUCUAUCUAAUGUGGCAUUAUCACGUGCGGCAAGUGUUUCUGCCUCAUCCCCACCCCGAUGGCUAUAGUCGAGCAGAAAUGACUUAUCUAUUUAGUAGCUGAACCAAAGAGAAAGUAAGCCCCGUCGCUCUCACUACAGCCUUUCACUUUAACCGGGCAUAGGCCCUCUUUCCUAAUUCAUCUACUGGUCUUAUCUUACAAGCACCAGAAUGAGAGAAGGACUUCCUGGCUUGACUUUCUCACAUAAAAACUUCAUUAGUAUAGAUCUGUAGCCCGUUCUGGGUCUUUAACCGAAACUGGGACUAGGCAUGGAAAAGCUCGAUCAACGUCCUUCUCUCCCGAGGUUCGAAAUGUGGAGGUACCUUUACCGUCACCUGCUAGCUCUGUCCGCCACGGGUUAGCGACAUAAAGUGCGAAUAAAGGUUCAUCGGGACAUUUUCUUCAACAACUGAAGCCCUUAUUAUCCCAGCCUCCAAAGGAAGUAAAGACUACAAGUCCCUAUGGAAGUUCCUUGCCCACUUCUUGGCAUCUGCCUUUAUUAUGUUUCAUGUCCGCAAAUCGUAUUCAUGUCCGACCCCCCUUCUCUGUUGGCGAAUCGACUUCAGCUCCUGUACUUCUUUCUUUAGGGCCGUCUAAAAAGUCUUAAGUUCUUGAAAUUCGGCUCCUUUUGAAGCGGAGAAAGGGUGAAAGCUAAUAAGAACUUUUUUUCAUAACUUACUUGGAAAAUGAAACUCAUGCCUUUCCUUAAUCAGUUACUUGCCUCCUUCUGCUACUAUUGAUUCAAUUCCAAAGAUGGAGGAAGUGAAAACAGACUGAAAAGGAUAGGAAGGAGACUCGACCUUAGGGAGAUAAAAUCCCUUUUUCUCAAUCUCUUCUAGUUAGUAGUACCUACCGGAUGAAUUACUUCCCUUAAAGGCCUACCUUCCUUGGCACAUAGAUUAGCAUUAUUCCCCUUACCUUAGAUACGGAAAGCAUGUCAGACUGUAGAGUGGGCUUCCUACAAUCGGGGGCGAGUCACCUUCAUGCGGGGCUACCUAGCUACCAUGGAAGACAAACCUUCCCCCAUUGUCCAUUCGAAGGGCGCUGACUUUCAUUAUCAGGGUAUUUUCGAGGGGUGAAAGGUGCAUGUGGGGUUUUCGUACGCGGCUUAAAGCAAGCAUUUCAGGCAUUUCUUAAUGAAUAGCUAGAUGGUCUCCGCCGUCUAGGAUCUAUAGAUAGAGACCACGAGGGGAGAAGAACAUCAUCAAGUUCCUUUUUUCCGGGAUUUUGGCUACCUAUAGGCGAAAGAAUUCUACUUUUAUCGGCUGACUAUUCAUAGGCGAACGAAUUAGGCUUUUGAGAAGGACUAAGCAGCAAUCUCAGUGAAACGUGAGAGGCUCAUUGCGUACGAGCUUCAAUAGUGAGAGCUAAGCUAGGAACGGGGAAGGAUGAGCAGAGAGGGAAGGACUUUCUAACUGAACUUGACUUACCCAUAGAAGGAACGACUUAAAGGGUUCAGGUUUCUGGUUGAAUACCUAUCCCUGCCUUCUAGCAUUCAUGCCUCAUCUUUCAGAUUGAUCUAGCAUUCCAUACCGGAUUUCUGAUAUCUCUAUCUUUUUGAUCCGGAUUUCGUAUCUAUCUUUCUCAUAUUUGACUGAUUUUGUAUGCUCAUGCCUAAUCCUCUUGAUUAGACUAUCUAUGCCUAUCUUUCAAUCCGGAUUUGAUAUCCCUCUCUAACCUCUUCAAGGCAUGGGAAACCUAAAAAAGCAAAGGAGAGGCUAGCGGCGAAAGCAGAUUGAUAGGGGGUCACCCGGCUCUUUCUAACUAAAGGUCGGCGUAUCCUAUCACCUAAUCUUUCUAAGGAGCGAGAGCAUGGGAAACCUCUCAGAUUGAACUAGGCCUUCUGAAGCAUACCUUGCAUCGUCUAACUGCCCCCGCUAAAUCAUGAUUGAAUGUCUCAUUUUCCUCUUUCUUCUUUCUCGUCUUUGACACCAUUCGUCUGAUCAUGGCUAAGACUCACUAACAUUCUCUUUGCCAGCAGGCUCCCACUUGCUGGUUCCGGGCUUGCUGGCCUAUAAUCCAGAUUGAUCUAUUCAGAUUGAGGAAACACCGAGUUCAGGUCUUCUUUCUAUGCCCCAACUGGAGAAACUCUGAGAUUUCUCACUAUUCGUAUGAAAAUGGGGAAACAGUCUUUCUCAGACUCAAAUCCUUCUUUUUUUAUGCCACGGACUCCCCGAACGGACUUAUAGCAGCAAUACCAGCCAGAACCUCUGAUGAGACCUAUCCAUCGUACUAUCACUCUCCGCUAUUAGAGAGGCUUUUCACCCACAUGCGGGUCAUCCUUCUCUAAUACCUGCUAUAGGCAAGCUAAAAUAAGGGUCCACCCUCAUGCUUUAAGCCUAUAAUAGAAAGGGUAUAAAGAGGUAUCCUUAACGUGGGUUUUACCUAGGUAAAAUAGCAUUCUAUUGGGAUCAAAAUCCCCUUACAUGUAUUGGAUGAAAGGUCCUAACUCCUAGCAAAGUCAUUCUUCACUGUUUUUCCCCUUACCUUUGCCUGUCUUGAAAGCUUCUGGCCGGGGAGAUGCGGAACAUUCUUUGCCUCAUCUUUCAUGCCUACCUACCAUGCUAAUCAAGAUGGAAGAUCUCAUUUCGAAUUUGAGUUUGGAAACUUCCCUAGUUGAAAUGGGUAACGUGUUCCGCUGCUUGGACUGACUCUUGCUAUUGGAAACAUAUGCUCCCUAACGGUUUGGGCCCUUCCUUUCGUUUGAUGGCAUGCGCCUUCUUAGAAUAAGGCUAGGAGCUAUUCUCCAGUGAUGGCUGCCUUCACCCUAUGAGUGGGGUCUUUGCCUGGAAAAAAGGCUUUCACUAUAGAAAAUUCUCAAGUAGAUGUUCCCUGAAAUGGUUGCUCUUUCGAAAGCAAUGGUUGCUAGGAAUGGUUUUGCUGUCUAGCUCUUGCAAGCAAGGCGUGAAGCGAUUCUCUUGAGCUCUAACCGGCUAAACCCGCUUUGGUGGCCCGCCCCAAGUCUUGCCCAUAGCUGACUUCUUUGCUAGAUGAUAUCGAAUAGUACGACUAGAGUUCAAUCCCUCAGAAAGUCAUAGUACGACUACAGGGAAAGAGAUCUGAAAGUAGCCUUUUACCCCGUUAUUCGAUGGUGAAUGCAGCCUAGCUCUCCCCAUUCAAUAGGCUAAGCCUAUCCCUUUGCCGUAAAGCUAAGACAGAACUCAGCUAGGACCGAAGAUAGGAUUGCCAACCGGAUGAAAACCGAAGAGAGCAUUGCCAGUUUCAUUCCAGUCUUUUCUCAAUUGAGAAGUCAACCAACAGGUCAAUCCUUCCCUUAUAUCAUAUCCAUUUUACACAGUCUUUGUUGAAAUAGUGUAAAUAGUGCGAGACUUUCAACUAAUGAAAUCUAAACCAGCUAGUUCAGUCAGAUACCGGCUAAGCAACCUCUAAAGCAGCUAUCGGAGCAGUAGCAGCUUGAAAUUCGCAUACCAAAGACGAUGGAAUUCCCCACUUUCUAAUGCAAUACGGCAAAGCUUAGGGAGUCAGCUAGUCCAACAUCAGUCAUUCUAAUGGAAUAUCUGGAAUAUCGAACUAGGAAUUGAAAGACUUUCUUUCUUUAUAUACGAGUCAAUUACAUACCGGNCCUAUGCUAAGCCUUUACUACCUACCCUUACCUGUCCGCCUUGAACUACUGCGCCUGCGCAUACCUUUUCUUGCUCCAUCCAGAAGGUAGCUUGAACUGGCAUUGUACAGAUAGAUAGCCAGUAGAAAGAACUAUUCCCAAGCUGGAG